AACGCGAAGAACCUUACCAAGGCUUGACAUGAACCGGAAACACCUGGAAACAGGUGCCCCGCUUGCGGUCGGUUUACAGGUGGUGCAUGGUUGUCGUCAGCUCGUGUCGUGAGAUGUUGGGUUAAGUCCCGCAACGAGCGCAACCCUCGUUCUAUGUUGCCAGCGCGUUAUGGCGGGGACUCAUAGGAGACUGCCGGGGUCAACUCGGAGGAAGGUGGGGACGACGUCAAAUCAUCAUGCCCCUUAUGUCUUGGGCUUCACGCAUGCUACAAUGGCCGGUACAAAGGGUUGCGAUACUGUGAGGUGGAGCUAAUCCCAAAAAGCCGGUCUCAGUUCGGAUUGGGGUCUGCAACUCGACCCCAUGAAGUCGGAGUCGCUAGUAAUCGCAGAUCAGCAACGCUGCGGUGAAUACGUUCCCGGGUCUUGUACACACCG
RNAcentral lists this ribosomal RNA (435 nucleotides) under uncultured bacterium. RNAcentral describes it as "bacterial SSU rRNA". It matches the Rfam family "Bacterial small subunit ribosomal RNA", at positions 958 to 1392 of the family's 1533-position model. The record is from RNAcentral.